Molecule: ribosomal RNA, 750 nt
Filed under: Lactiplantibacillus plantarum
Lineage: Bacteria; Bacillati; Bacillota; Bacilli; Lactobacillales; Lactobacillaceae
Description: bacterial SSU rRNA
Rfam family: Bacterial small subunit ribosomal RNA
Source: RNAcentral
GAGUGAGUGGCGAACUGGUGAGUAACACGUGGGAAACCUGCCCAGAAGCGGGGGAUAACACCUGGAAACAGAUGCUAAUACCGCAUAACAACUUGGACCGCAUGGUCCGAGUUUGAAAGAUGGCUUCGGCUAUCACUUUUGGAUGGUCCCGCGGCGUAUUAGCUAGAUGGUGAGGUAACGGCUCACCAUGGCAAUGAUACGUAGCCGACCUGAGAGGGUAAUCGGCCACAUUGGGACUGAGACACGGCCCAAACUCCUACGGGAGGCAGCAGUAGGGAAUCUUCCACAAUGGACGAAAGUCUGAUGGAGCAACGCCGCGUGAGUGAAGAAGGGUUUCGGCUCGUAAAACUCUGUUGUUAAAGAAGAACAUAUCUGAGAGUAACUGUUCAGGUAUUGACGGUAUUUAACCAGAAAGCCACGGCUAACUACGUGCCAGCAGCCGCGGUAAUACGUAGGUGGCAAGCGUUGUCCGGAUUUAUUGGGCGUAAAGCGAGCGCAGGCGGUUUUUUAAGUCUGAUGUGAAAGCCUUCGGCUCAACCGAAGAAGUGCAAUCGUGAUUACUGGGAAACUUGAGUGCAAAAGAGGACAGUGUGAACUCCAUGUGUAGCGGUGAAAUGCGUAGAUAUAUGGGAAGAACACCAGUGGCGAAAGGCGGCUGUCUGGUCUGUGACCUGACGCUGAGGCUCGAAAGUAUGGGGUAGCAAAACAGGGAUUAGAUACCCUGGUAGUCCAUACCGUAAACGAUGAAUG